GAUCGACUAGGAUAUGAAUUGGUUAGUGAAUUCAUGAUGCAUGGUCCGUGUGGAGAUGCGAACAAAAGUUGUGCUUGCAUGAAAAAUAAUAAAUGCUCAAAAAAUUAUCCAAAAGAUUUUCAGGAUGAAACCAUUAUUGAUGAGGCUGGCUUUACAAUUUAUAGACGACGAAAUGAUGGACGACAUAUUAUAAAAAAUGGAAUUCCAUUGGACAACAGAUCGGUUGUUCCUUACAACAUGAAGCUGCUUAAAACAUAUCAAGCACACAUAAAUGUUGAGUGGUGUAAUAAAUCAAAUUUGAUAAAAUAUUUAUUUAAAUAUAUCACAAAGGGUCAAGAUCGUGCUAGAAUCUAUUUUGAGACAACCGGUAAAACAACAAAUGCAUCACCAAAUCAUGACCUUGCACCACAAGAUGAGAUAUUAGAAUAUAUGGAUGGUAGGUUCCUUUCUACAUGUGAGUCUCUUCAUCGACUAUUUGAGUUUGAUAUACAUUAUAGAAUGCCAUCUGUUGAGCGAUUAGUUGUACAUUUGCCUGGCAAAAAUUAUGUUAGAUAUGAGAAAGGGUCUAAUUUACGAGCAGUCCUAAAGAGCCCUGCUGCAAAAAGUUCGAUGCUAACUGAAUGGUUUGAAGCGAAUAAAAAAUAUCCUAAGGCUCAUUCAUUGACAUACUGCGAAUUUCCAAAAGAACAGACAUGGGAGCCAUCAUCUAGAGUGUGGCGCCCACGAACUCCUGCUCCAAAAAUUGGUAGAAUUUACUAUGUGCAUCCAACUGCUGGUGAGCUUUACUACUUGCGAAUGAUACUGAUGAUUGUUAGAGGUGCCCAAAGUUAUGCUGAUGUGCGAACAUACAAUGGCAUUGUUUAUUCCACAUAUAGAGAGGCCUGUGAGGCACAAGGGCUCCUCGAAGGAGACAAUGAAUGGUACCUGCUUUUUGAUGAGGCAAUACUAACUGCAUCAUCGCAACAGCUUAGACAACUUUUUGUAACCAUCCUUCUUUAUUGCUCAGUUAUAGAUGUGCGCUCAUUAUUUGACAAGUACUGGAUACACAUGACAGAUGAUAUUCAUAAUAGACUAAAAAAAGCGCUAGAUAAUCCUCACUGCAUAAUUCCACAGGAUCACUUGCUUAACCUUCUAUUACAUGAGCUUGCUACUGUAUUUGCAAAAAGUGGUGGUGACAUAAAGGAUUUUAACUUGCCACACCCAACCUCCAUUGCACAUAUCGCUGGUGGUAACAGAUUGAUUGAUGAGGAACUUACAAUUGAUCCACUUAUGCUAAGCAUGCAUGCAGAUUCUUUGAUAACACAAUUGAAUACUGAGCAAAAACAUAUUUUUGAUGUUAUAUCUUCUCGUGUUGCUCAUAAUCAGCCUGGUUUCUUCUUUGUGUGUGGCCAUGGGGGAACCGGCAAAACAUUUCUAUGGAAUGCUAUCAUUGCAAAACUUAGAUCACAAAAUAAAAUUGUGCUUGCUGUAGCGUCAUCAAGGGUGGCAUCUUUACUGCUACCUAGAGGUAGGACAGCUCACUCACGAUUUAAAAUACCCAUUGAUAUUGAUGAGACAAGCAUUUGUAACAUUAAACGAGGAAGCAUGCUUGCUGAACUUUUAAUUGAAGCUUCGCUUAUUAUAUGGGAUGAGGCUCCGAUGACACAUAGGCGAUGUUUUGAAGCGUUGGAUCGGACUUUACGUGAUAUCCUUUCUCAAACGUGUGCUACAAAUUCUAUUAUACCUUUUGGAGGAAAACCCGUCGUUCUAGGUGGUGAUUUCAGACAGAUAUUGCCAGUUGUUCCUAAAGGUUCCCGCCAUGCUAUAGUCAAUGCAUCAAUCACAAAUUCAGAUCUAUGGAAACAUGUAACAGUCUUAACGAUGAAUAUAAAUAUGAGACUACUUAACACAAACCUAGAGCAAAAGCAAAAAGAUGAGCUGCAUGAUUUUAGUAAGUGGGUUUUAGCUAUUGGUAAUGGCACAAUACCUAUGACCACGAAGGAAGGUGAAAGCUAUCCAUCAUGGAUCGAAAUUCCUCAUGACUUACUUAUUAUAACUGAUGGUGAUAAAAUAUCUGCUAUUGUGAAUGAAGUGUAUUGUGAUUUUUUUGCAUCAUACAUGAAUCCUGAAUACUUAGCUUCUCGUGCAAUUGUUUGUCCUAACAAUGCUACAAUAGAUGAAAUAAAUGACUAUGUUAUUGGUUUAGUACCAAGAGAAGCAAGGAUAUACCUAAGCUGCGAUACAAUAUCAAAGUGCGCUGAACAAAUUCCAGAUUUUGACUUGCUAUAUCCACCUGAGUUUCUUAAUUCAAUAAAUGCUGCAAACUUCCCUACACAUAGACUUAUCCUCAAAGAAGGUGUUGUUGUCAUGUUGCUCAGAAAUCUAAACCAAUCAAUUGGUCUCUGCAAUGGAACAAGACUAUUAAUUGUUGCUUUAGGUGAUAGAAUUCUUCAAUGCAUUAUACUCAUUGGCUCAAACAUUGGUGAUACUGUUUACAUACCUCGAAUAACACUGAGUACUACUAAAAUGAAAUGGCCUUUUACAUUGCAAAGGAGACAAUUCCCUAUUCGAGUUUGCUAUGCAAUGACCAUCAAUAAAAGUCAAGGACAAACACUACAACGAGUUGGUGUGUACCUUAGAAAACCUAUUUUUACACAUGGCCAGUUGUAUGUUACAAUUUCAAGAGCUACAAGUCGAUCAGGUCUAAAAAUAUUAAUUGAGAACGACGAUGGUUCAUGCGGAAACCAUACAAGGAAUAUUGUUUACAGUGAAAUACUCACUGCUACAUUUCCAGCGGCUCCGCCGUUGCAUACUUAGCUAUUUUGGCCUAAACAGGGACAAAUUUUGUACAAACAUUUUGGAAUAAAUAUAUGUCUUCAGCAGCUAUCAUGUGCUAUAUACCCGCUGCAAUAUUCCCCUCUUAAUAUUAUAUAUUCCAAAUGGCG
Molecule: non-coding RNA, 2924 nt
Organism: Oryza sativa Japonica Group (Japanese rice)
Lineage: Eukaryota; Viridiplantae; Streptophyta; Magnoliopsida; Poales; Poaceae
Source: RefSeq, a predicted model, not a curated record